GGGGUAGUAGCUCAUUUAGUAGAGCGCGUGAUUUGCAUUCACGAGGCGCCGAGAGCGAAGCUCGGCUACUCCA
Paramecium tetraurelia is the source of this 73-nucleotide transfer RNA. It matches the Rfam family "tRNA". Rfam says of the family: Transfer RNA (tRNA) molecules are approximately 80 nucleotides in length. Their secondary structure includes four short double-helical elements and three loops (D, anti-codon, and T loops). NCBI's taxonomy places the organism in Eukaryota, Ciliophora, Oligohymenophorea, Peniculida, Parameciidae. The record is from Rfam.